CCUGUCACUUCCCGAUUGGUCCGCGGCCUAUCAGCUAGUUGCGGGGUAAAAGCCCACCAAGGCUACGACGGGUAGCUGGUCUUAGAGGACGACCAGCCACACUGGAACUGAGACACGGUCCAGACACCUACGGGUGGCAGCAGUCGAGAAUCUUUCACAAUGGGGGCAACCCUGAUGGAGCGACGCCGCGUGGAGGAUAAGGUCUUCGGAUUGUAAACUCCUGUCAUGCGCGAACAAGGUUGCAGAGUUAAUAACUUUGCAAAUUGAUGGUACCGCAAGAGGAAGAGACGGCUAACUCUGUGCCAGCAGCCGCGGUAAUACAGAGGUCUCAAGCGUUGUUCGGAAUCACUGGGCGUAAAGGGUGCGUAGGUGGCGUGGUAAGUCAGAUGUGAAAAGCCCCGGGGCUCAACCCCGGAAUUGCAUCCGAUACUACCGUGCUAGAGUACUGAAGAGGAAACUAGAAUUCUCGGUGUAGCAGUGAAAUGCGUAGAUAUCGAGAGGAAUACCAAAGGCGAAGG
Molecule: ribosomal RNA, 518 nt
Filed under: uncultured bacterium
Lineage: Bacteria
Description: bacterial SSU rRNA
Rfam family: Bacterial small subunit ribosomal RNA
Source: RNAcentral